Molecule: non-coding RNA, 429 nt
Organism: Phasianus colchicus (ring-necked pheasant)
Lineage: Eukaryota; Metazoa; Chordata; Aves; Galliformes; Phasianidae
Source: RefSeq, a predicted model, not a curated record
AGGGCUGGACUCUAUGACUCUAUGAUUCUAUUGUAUGAGUCACAGUGGGGCCCCCCAGAGCUCAUAUGAGGGCCAGCCGCUGAAGGGAGAGCAUCGCUUGGGCUGCUUGCUGAGGAGUGCUGUGUGGCUGGGGAGCUGCAUCAGCAAUUGGAUGACAAACAGAUGGCUUCUAAAGCAUUCAUGAUGCUGAGGAGAGGAACACCCAUGUAGCAGCCUUCGUUCUGUGUCACUGCAGGUUGUCACACAGCUCUCAGACUGUCAGACAGCACAGAGGAAAAGGCUCCAUUGUUAUCUCCCCUCCAUCGUAAGAGAUAUGAAGUGCAGUUCUUUCACUGUCUUAAGACCUUCAGGAAUAUUUUCACAUUUUGGAAGAGUUACCCUCACCUGUUAGGAAAGGAACAUUGAAUAAUGUCAGCACAACAACUAUGG